GAUAAACGCUGGCGGCGUGCCUAACACAUGCAAGUCGAACGUCCUUUCCCGGCAACGGGAGAGGGAGUGGCGGACGGGUGAGUAACACAUGGGUACCUGCCUUUCAGUGAGGAAUACCGGCGAGAAAUCGCCGACAAGACCGCAUGAGCUUGCCCCGUGAAAGGGGAGAAGCAAAGUUGCUUCGCGAGAGGCGACGCUGGAAGAAGGGCCUGUGGCCGAUUAGCUAGUUGGGGGGGUAACGGCCUCCCAAGGCUUCGAUCGGUAGCUGGUCUGAGAG
This 277-nucleotide ribosomal RNA is filed under the name uncultured bacterium. Its description in RNAcentral is "partial 16S ribosomal RNA". It matches the Rfam family "Bacterial small subunit ribosomal RNA", at positions 28 to 298 of the family's 1533-position model. The record is from RNAcentral.